GUUAGGAGAUGUUUAUUUACAAAGCAAGCCACCUCUGGCCAGGGAAUUGUGGGCGGAAGCUGCCAUAGGAAGCUAUCAGGUGAGUGGUCCAUCUAGGCUAGUGUCUCUGCACUAACCAGCAGCAACUCAGAGAGGGUCUCUCCAAGCCAUACCUGGAGAUUGAACCUAGAAGUCUCAGCAUGCAAAACAGAUGCUCUACCAUUGAGUUUCAACCCUACAACCAGGCUACCUCUACUGCAGGAAAUGUGUGCGCAUAGCCCCUCAGCAUCACCCCACAAUUUAAUGGGGUUUUUUCUUCUUUUGACUUGUUCAGGUCUGUAGAGGCAUGAGGCUCACAGUGGACGCAGGCACUUUCCCUGUCAAGCAUUCAGUACCUUGGACAGCUCCUGUGAAACUCCCUGGUGAGUUACGGUAUCUCUGCAAGGAACUAGAGACAGUGGAAGCCUUACGCUGAUCAAACCUGGACUGUGGUAGAGUGUGAUUCCUUUUCAAAGCUUAACAACAACCCCACAUAACUUGAUGAGCACUAUUACUAUGUAAUACAGUUCAUAAGUCUGUUUACAUCAGUAGCUAAUAUCAAUUGUGCAGCAUUUCAGCUGCCAUAUGCCACAUUUGCACCACACAUGUAAAGCUCUCAUCAGAGGUGGAUUUAGGGGAGCGCAACUGGUUCAGUCACCCUGGGCACAGAGAGUUGGAGGCACCGCAACUAUGAUGCAAAAGCAAAGGCGGGGGGGGGGAGAGAGACCAAAUUUUGGUGUUGCACAUGGUGCUGCUGAAAUUUGAGACCCCAAGGUCUGCCACCGCUCUCAUAUACCACUUUAACAGUUGCUGCUUCCUUAAAGGAAUCCUGGGAAUUGUAGUUUGUGGGUUUUUUAAAAAAAAAUGAGAAUAUUUCAAUUGAACAAACUAAAAGUGAAAGUGAAUAAACGAAACAAAACCCUGUAAUUUGUUGAGUGCCAAGUGUUGGUAGGAGACCCCUGUGCCCCUCACUGAGCCACAGUUUCCAGAGUGGUUUAAUAAUCAGUCCCGCUUCAUGGGGAACUCUGCAAGGUGCAUAUAUGGUCCUAGAGUCCCACAAAGAAAGAAGCAAAUGGGAAUUUAAGCAUGCUGAGAAUCCUCUGUUGGAUAUCCUUAACCCACCCCUGAACUACAAUUCCCAGAGUUCACUGGGGGGAGAGAAUUAUUAUUAAACCAGCUUUUAUGCAGAUAAAGUUCCAGAAUUUCAGUGGACCCAUCCAAACACAUCAAUGAACCCCAAGCUCAAAAUCCAUACCUGCUUUGGGAAUCAGAAAGAAGUGCUGGGGUGAGGGCUUGUUUUUGAUAGCAAAGAAAACAUUACACGUAUUGCAGCCGAGUACAAAAACUGUGAUCUCUAUAAAAAAAAGUUAAUAAUGGAAAAUCCAGGCAUAAUUCAUGUUUGUAAAAGGAGGGGGCAAAACCCGAGAGCUAAUGAGAAGCAAAUUGGCCAGAGCAAGUUUAGCAGUGGCAUUCCCUUUUAAUGUUCCAGCUGCCAUCCUUUCUUAAAGCCGUGCAGCUGUAUCAAAUAAUGACCUGCAAUUUGUAAUAUGGGUGUUUAUUAUUAUUUUUUUCUUUCUAUGUUUCCCCCCUUAAAUUAAUAAGGUAUCUCUUGUAAUAAAACUGGUCUGCUGGGAAGGUUGGCUCAAUUGCACCACCCACUGGGACGAAAGCACACAGCGUUAUAAACCUCAAUGCAAUCAGGAAGACAUUCAUUCUGUGCAGAAUGUCUCUCUUUACACUGCCUGUGCAGUUUGCUGCCGUCGUUCCUCUCUCCUUAUCCCCACUUUGCAUAAGACGCACCGCACAAAGGAAAAUGUCUCAAGCCACCGUCAUCUGUAUUCUUCUAUAGCUGCAAAAGGCAGGUUAAGACACAGCGUGAGAGGCUGCCUCCUGGAUGUAUUUGGAUUGAGGAAUGAAAAAGGAGAGCAUUUCUGCUUUUAUGGGAGGGUAUAUACCCUCCCCCCUUUUCUUCCUCACAUUACAAUGAAGGGCUUAAGUGAUCUAACUGCAGAUCAUUUUUUAUUUAUUGGUGAGAAGGCUUCCCUUUCUGGCUUCUGUCACCUCCGAUUAGUAAACACCAACGGCUCCAGGAAUAUGUUGUCUGUUCCGUCACCGCAACCCACAGAAUCGAGCCAUUUGAGAGACAGAGCGAGUGAGCUGUAGCGUGGAGGGAGCAGAAGAGGGGAAGGGAAGCAGACACGGAAGUUCACCCUGUCAAACUUGGAAAACUGAAAGGACCACAAGGCAUGGCUAAUGAAAAAUUCCUGCUCACUCUACACAGGUGGGAUGCUUUCAUGUCAAAAAAGCUUGCCCCUCCCAAUAAGUCUUGCUUCCGAACCAUUUUAACGCAAGUAUAUGUAGCAUGCAGCUGUAAUAUUACCCUCUCCCCCCUCCCGAAAAAAACCCAAUGAAAGGCAAGAUUUCAAGGUCACAAAGCAGGGAAGAGCUUUGAAAUUAAAUCCUACUGUAAGGGGAAUGGUUAAAGGGCUCCUUUUUAUCAUCCUUGUGUUGCUCUCUGGGUUAGGGAUAGGGGAUUCAGUUUGCAUUUAAAUGCAAAUUGAUCUAAUAUGUGGAUCCAAACACAGCUGCCCUUCAAAAUUCAUGCUUCUCCGCAUUUGGCAAUGUAGUUCUCCCAUGAAGUAAUGUGUACAAAAUGUGUUAUAAAGGCCAUUGCCCUUUUUCAUGGAGUUUGUGUCAAAGCAUGCACUGGCCAAGUGUGCAUAAGCCCAUCCUGCCCCAUUUCUCCCUCUUCCAGGUCCAAAAGGAGCCACACAUUGGCAGUUGGAUGUCAAUCGGACACACCUAAAAUGGUUGCCACUCGUAUUGCAUGACCAGGCGUGACAGCCCCAACUCCCAGGGAACAUAGGAAAGGAAAUAAAGACUCUGACAACGUUAUGGAAUUAAAAUUAGGCCACAACUUUAUUAAACUUCUGAAUGUAGGAAGACCUUGGCUUAGGUCUUGAGCUUGUAUCCCUCCCAGCCAGGGGGAACUGGGGUUCAUAGGGUAAAUGGGAUAUGGGGGUGCUCUGUGAGACGUAAUUGUAGGCAGGCAGCCCAGCCCAUAUCCCCACACACAGGGUAGUUCACUGACAACCUUUCAGUCUAUGGCCAGUGACACCUAUUUAUGUAACCCUUUAAGAGGGGGACCCUGGAAUCGUCACCACAGGGGGGUGAGUAACCACUUCAAAGGCCCCCCCCCCAUUAUAGGGAAGAAAAGACUAAAGGAUUCCACCCAAGGCCAUAACCGCCAAAGUUGUGAUGAAUUGCUAUGGGGAAGACAAAACCUGCCAAUGCAGGAAAAUUUCUUCCCAGUCCUUCAACAGCAACCAGUCAAAGACCACAGCAGCACCCACUAAAAAGGAAGAAAAAGUUAACCUGCAAGCAAGAACAUUAACAAAGGGAGGGUGAAUCUCCAGAGCCGUCUGCCUGGGAGUGAACCGUCUGAAGCUGGGAGUGAACCUCUGAAUAAUACACUGAGAAGCAGGCCAGCCCCCUUCUACUAGCAAGUUUCCUGGGAACUGUAGCACCUCACGUGAUCCCGCAAAAGGCACCCACAAUAUAGCGUGAGUGCUCAUUAGGAUAAAAUGCAGAUAUUCAUGAAAAUAACAAACAUGCAUUGUUCUGGCGAAAAUGUUUUGCAAAAAAUGUGUAUAUUAACUAAACUGCAUACAAAAAUCUGUGCAUUAGCAGAAACUUACACAAAAAUGUGGGGGGGGGAUUCAUACUUUUUUUAAAAAAAAGAAGAAAAUUGUCGUGGAAAUAUGGAGAACUGUUCUUUAGGGUGGAAAAGUAAGAAACCGAAAUUGACCAAUUUGCCCAUCCCUUAUCUCAGAUACAUCACAACAGAAGCCCACUCAUCUUCUCAAGAGCUGCAUGCACAAGCCGCGGCUAAUUUUUUGUACUUUUCUUUUUAUAUAUCUUUUGCUUGGGAGGGACCAUGGGAAACACUGGAUCUUCCUCUCUGAGCUUUGAGAGGGAGACCUAAUGUUGGAUGCUGUAUCUCGGCCACUGCAAAAAAUAUCUGUGGCCCCUGCCCUGCUAAUGUCAGAGCUCUGAUGUCAGUAAGGCAGAAAAGGGGACAUGCUCAGGGCUGGCUAGGGAAAAGUUUGGAUCCUAAACUAGGGCCCAAACUACGCCAGUUUGAGCUGGCAUAGUUUAUUUCCUUCCCAUUGUUCACAAUGGGAUUUAUAAUAUAUAGAGAGAGAAUAUGGAAAAAGAGAAAGGGACAGACAAGUGCUCCUGUGCUAAUAAUUCUAUGAAAGCCUGGCAGAGCGUUGGAUGAGGUGGCUCAAUGGCUUUGGUUUCCCCCACCAUGCCCUUUAGGAUUGCAUCCAUACUCACUUUUCUAUUAUGAAAAACAGGUUACAGUACAGGAAGGGAGCAUAAAACUGACCAGGCAAACAUCAACAGGUCAACAUACCACCUACAGUGAUACAAUGAAGCUGCCUUUCAAAUCAAGCUCUAAAUAAUAAUAAGAGUUUUCCAAAAUGACUUG
Podarcis lilfordi (Lilford's wall lizard) is the source of this 4513-nucleotide non-coding RNA. The record is from the annotation of a GenBank genome assembly. NCBI's taxonomy places the organism in Eukaryota, Metazoa, Chordata, Lepidosauria, Squamata, Lacertidae.